RNAcentral lists this ribosomal RNA (496 nucleotides) under uncultured bacterium. Its description in RNAcentral is "partial 16S ribosomal RNA". It matches the Rfam family "Bacterial small subunit ribosomal RNA", at positions 28 to 507 of the family's 1533-position model. The record is from RNAcentral.
GAUGAACGCUGGCGGCGUGCCUAAUACAUGCAAGUCGAGCGAACAGACGAGGAGCUUGCUCCUCUGACGUUAGCGGCGGACGGGUGAAUAACACGUGGAUAACCUACCUAUAAGACUGGGAUAACUUCGGGAAACCGGAGCUAAUACCGGAUAAUAUACUGAACCGCAUGGUUCAAUAGUGAAAGACGGUUUUGCUGUCACUUAUAGAUGGAUCCGCGCCGCAUUGCUAGUUGGUAAGGUAACGGCUUACCAAGGCAACGAUGCGUAGCCGACCUGAGAGGGUGAUCGGCCACACUGGAACUGAGACACGGUCCAGACUCCUACGGGAGGCAGCAGUAGGGAAUCUUCCGCAAUGGGCGAAAGCCUGACGGAGCAACGCCGCGUGAGUGAUGAAGGUCUUCGGAUCGUAAAACUCUGUUAUUAGGGAAGAACAAAUGUGUAAGUAACUAUGCACGUCUUGACGGUACCUAAUCAGAAAGCCACGGCUAACUACGUG